CCUACGGGUGGCUGCAGUGGGGAAUAUUGCACAAUGGGGGAAACCCUGAUGCAGCAACGCCGCGUGAGUGAAGAAGUAUUUCGGUAUGUAAAGCUCUAUCAGAAGGGAAGAGAAGGACGGUACCGGACUAAGAAGCCCCGGCUAAUUACGUGCCAGCAGCCGCGGUAAUACGUAGGGGGCGAGCGUUAUGCGGAGUGACGGGGGGUAAAGGGAGCGGAGACGGUUCUGCAAGUCUGAAGUGAAAGCCCGUGGCUUAACCGCGGAACGGCUUUGGAAACUGUGGAACUGGAGUGCUGGAGAGGCAAGCGGAAUUCCUCGUGUAGCGGUGCCAUGCGUAGAUAUUAGGAGGACCACCAGUGGCGAAGGCGGCUUGCUGGACAGUAACUGCCGUUGAGACUCGAAAGCGUGGGGAGCAAACAGGAUUAGAUACCCUUGUAGUC
RNAcentral lists this ribosomal RNA (440 nucleotides) under uncultured bacterium. Its description in RNAcentral is "partial 16S ribosomal RNA". It matches the Rfam family "Bacterial small subunit ribosomal RNA", at positions 338 to 795 of the family's 1533-position model. The record is from RNAcentral.